This 253-nucleotide ribosomal RNA is filed under the name uncultured bacterium. RNAcentral's name for it is "partial 16S ribosomal RNA". It matches the Rfam family "Bacterial small subunit ribosomal RNA", at positions 524 to 776 of the family's 1533-position model. The record is from RNAcentral.
GACGUAGGGCGCGAGCGUUGUCCGGAUUUAUUGGGCGUAAAGAGCUCGUAGGCGGCUUGUCGCGUCGACUGUGAAAUCCCGCGGCUCAACCGCGGGUCUGCAGUCGAUACGGGCAGACUAGAGUUCGGUAGGGGAGUCUGGAAUUCCUGGUGUAGCGGUGAAAUGCGCAGAUAUCAGGAGGAACACCGGUGGCGAAGGCGGGACUCUGGGCCGAUACUGACGCUGAGGAGCGAAAGCGUGGGGAGCAAACAGG